AUGCACGCUGGCGGCGUGCCUAAUACCUGCCAGUCGCGCGAACAGAUAAGGAGCUUGCUCCUUUGACGUUAGCGGCGGACGGGUGAGUUACACGUGGAUAACCUACCUAUAAGACUGGGAUAACUUCGGGAAACCGGAGCUAAUACCGGAUAACAUAUUGAACCGCAUGGUUCAAUAGUGAAAGGCGGCUUUGCUGUCACUUAUAGAUGGAUCCGCGCCGUAUUAGCUAGUUGGUAAGGUAACGGCUUACCAAGGCAACGAUACGUAGCCGACCUGAGAGGGUGAUCGGCCACACUGGAACUGAGACACGGUCCAGACUCCUACGGGAGGCAGCAGUAGGGAAUCUUCCGCAAUGGGCGAAAGCCUGACGGAGCAACGCCGCGUGAGUGAUGAAGGUCUUCGGAUCGUAAAACUCUGUUAUCAGGGAAGAACAAAUGUGUAAGUAACUGUGCACAUCUUGACGGUACCUGAUCAGAAAGCCACGGCUAACUACGUG
This 496-nucleotide ribosomal RNA is filed under the name uncultured bacterium. RNAcentral describes it as "partial 16S ribosomal RNA". It matches the Rfam family "Bacterial small subunit ribosomal RNA", at positions 29 to 507 of the family's 1533-position model. The record is from RNAcentral.